GCCUGGUUAGUUUAACGGAUAGAAUGCAAUACUACGGAUAUUGAGGUUGGGGUUCGAUUCCCUGACUGGGUA
RNAcentral lists this transfer RNA (72 nucleotides) under Caudoviricetes sp. RNAcentral's name for it is "tRNA-Arg". It matches the Rfam family "tRNA". Rfam says of the family: Transfer RNA (tRNA) molecules are approximately 80 nucleotides in length. Their secondary structure includes four short double-helical elements and three loops (D, anti-codon, and T loops). The record is from RNAcentral. Lineage: Duplodnaviria; Heunggongvirae; Uroviricota; Caudoviricetes.